UGUUAGGUAAGGGGCCUACGUUGCUAAUAAAGAAAAAGGGGGACAGUAGUUCAUUUAGUGGAAAAUCCACUAGGUUUCGUACAAGUAUUGUUGUAAUAUUGUGGUGAGGCAGCAACGUAAAUAUGGUUGACAAAGAGGAGCAACACUUCAUUAGGCAGCAACAUAAUUUUUUUUAGGACCAUUAGCAGCGUUCCUUUCAUAUCAACCAUUGAUCGAAGUAUAAUUCGUUACAAGGACAUCAUACGGAUUUUGCACACUUUGUUCUAUUUUAUUGCGUUGUUGAAUUCGGGCUUUCUUCAAAGGGAAGUAAAGUGGAAGAAGAUCAUUUUUUGGCAUAUAAGGUAAGAACUAUUCUCUACUAGAUAAAUUUAAGUUCGUUGAGGUCAUAGCUAAAUUGUGGGACGAGAAAUACGAAAAUUAUACCGUAAAUUGUAUUUUAUGUUGUUGUUGGCUCAUGGGCUGUUUGUUGGACUGUUUUGUGGGUUAUGUAAACAUUGUUAUGGACGGAAAUUAUGUUAUACGACAUGAUUAUGAUAAUGAGUAGAUGAAGUGUAUCCAAAAUGAUUUAUUAUUUAACUAAAUUGAGUGCAAAAACUAAUUAUGUGGAUAAUUGGUAAUGUUGGAUUUUAGUGGGAGACUAAAAAAUUUAUUUAACUAUUCAAUUGUGGAUAAAUAUUGAAGUGGACCAUAUCCACGUGGAAGAGUAGAAAUUAAUGACUAAGGUUUGAUAUUAUGUAUGUGGCUUCUGUGGAAAUGAAGAUUUAAAAGUUAUACGGACCCUAAGGUCAACAAGAGACAACACAUAACCCUCUUUUGCUUACAUAAAAGGAGAGGUGACGUGGUAGCUAUAAUAAAGGACAGCAACAUAGCUACCUUGAAAAAAAAAUCAUCUUGAAAGGGCCCUUAACUUUCCAGCAAUAUAUGAGACCUCUAGUUUACUUGAACUAAUAUCUUGUUUCUAAAGGAAGUGAGCAGCAACAUAGUUACUAUUUGAGGAAGAAAAACGUUGAGCAACAACCUCCUUUCAUGAUGAUAUAUGCAGUAUGCAGCAAGCACUUUAAAUUGGAGGUUAUAUUUUGGCAACAAGGUUUAUCAUAUUAAUUGUGGAAGUUCUUGGCUGGACUGAGCUCUUGAACGACGUAAGGUACAGAUGCUUACGUUGGUAACCCGCCAACUUAGGAGUCCUAUUCAGCUAUCUUGGAGAGCUCCCUUGUUCCGGAGCCUAGAUUUUGGUACAGAAUCUGUUGUGGUGUAUAUGUAUUUUAUCCAGGGGUACGGCGGGGCCCUGUCCCGUCAUAUGAUACUGUUGUUACUCUUAGAGGUCUGUAGACAUAUGUGUGGGUUGUGUAUCGAUGUUGUUCAGUUGUGUCUAUAUGGCUUAUGUUUUGGGACGUUCCCAUUCGUAGUGGCAGCCUUCUCGGCUUGCGUAGAUAUAUAUAUGUUUUGAGAAGUAAUGUGUUACGAUAGCCUUGUCGGCUCGUUUAUGGAGGGGAUGUUCCUUUAUAUAUUUUGAAAGCCUUGUCGGCUUAUGUACUAUAAUGUCUGUUGAAAGUUGUACCUCCCCAGGAGACAGGUUGUUGUGAUACGUCUAAAUAAUGUGAC
Long non-coding RNA from Lycium barbarum (goji berry), 1602 nucleotides. RefSeq lists it as uncharacterized. The record is from RefSeq and is a predicted model, not a curated record. The transcript has 3 exons. NCBI's taxonomy places the organism in Eukaryota, Viridiplantae, Streptophyta, Magnoliopsida, Solanales, Solanaceae.